RNAcentral lists this unclassified non-coding RNA (439 nucleotides) under Parastrephia lepidophylla. Its description in RNAcentral is "partial external transcribed spacer". The record is from RNAcentral. Lineage: Eukaryota; Viridiplantae; Streptophyta; Magnoliopsida; Asterales; Asteraceae.
UUGGUUUGAUACGGGUGUUUGGCUCCCUGCUUGAGCAGGCACGGCCACGCGUACAUUCCUUUUCAGUUGUGCGGCAAGGCUUCUAUCGUCUUGAUCGUAUAUGUGGGUUUCCUGUGUUGCAUACCUGAUCAACGGCAUUGUUUUGAUCAAACACGUACCUUUUUCGUCGGGCGUUGCACCACAACGUCGGAUGAACAAUGUAGCAUCCUCUUUGAUCCAUAUAGUCGACGAGCAUUCGUUGAUUGUUUGGCCCGUUGAGGGUGGCUUGGUCUCUCGAAUAUGGAAGCCAAAGUGGGCAUGGGUUCGUAUGAUCCUUUUAUUGCCCUCGUUGAGCUUUCUUGCUUCUCUUACACGACCGCCUUACACGUAUGGCACGUCCCAGCGUGUUUGGCUACGUCGAAGAGGAAUGCUACCUGGUUGAUCCUGCCAGUAGUCAUAU